Molecule: ribosomal RNA, 253 nt
Filed under: uncultured bacterium
Lineage: Bacteria
Description: partial 16S ribosomal RNA
Rfam family: Bacterial small subunit ribosomal RNA
Source: RNAcentral
UACGGGGGGGGCAAGCGUUGUUCGGAAUUACUGGGCGUAAAGGGCUCGUAGGCGGCCAACUAAGUCAGACGUGAAAUCCCUCGGCUUAACCGGGGAACUGCGUCUGAUACUGGAUGGCUUGAAUUCGGGAGAGGGAUGCAGAAUUCCAGGUGUAGCGGUGAAAUGCGUAGAUAUCUGGAGGAAUACCGGUGGCGAAGGCGGCAUCCUGGACCGACAUUGACGCUGAGGAGCGAAAGCCAGGGGAGCAAACGGG